CAUACUUAUAAGGAUAACCUGU
RNAcentral lists this microRNA (22 nucleotides) under Caenorhabditis brenneri. Its description in RNAcentral is "cbn-miR-7636". Lineage: Eukaryota; Metazoa; Nematoda; Chromadorea; Rhabditida; Rhabditidae. The record is from miRBase by way of RNAcentral.